Molecule: small nuclear RNA, 294 nt
Filed under: Chinchilla lanigera (long-tailed chinchilla)
Lineage: Eukaryota; Metazoa; Chordata; Mammalia; Rodentia; Chinchillidae
Description: 7SK RNA (ENSCLAG00000021706.1)
Rfam family: 7SK RNA
About the family: 7SK was discovered as an abundant small nuclear RNA in the mid-70s but a possible function has only recently been suggested.
Source: Rfam by way of RNAcentral
GGAUGUGCGGGUGAUCUGGAUGCAGCAUCUAUCACCCCAUUAAUCACCAGGGUUGAUUCUGCUCAUCUGGCUGGCUAUGCAGGUAUCCCUGUCCUCCCUCAAUGCUCUGAAGCCGUGCACUCGGUUGAAGAGGACGAGUACCCUGAUAGAGGAGGACUGUUUCUUGGUCAGAGGUAUAGGAGUAGCAGCCCUCCCCUGCUAAAACCUCCAAACAAGCUCUCAAGAACAAAUAUAAAUGGUGAAUGGACACCUGAAAAGAUGCUGAAUAUCCCUAAUCAUCAGAGAAGCACAAUU